RNAcentral lists this transfer RNA (77 nucleotides) under [Mycoplasma] gypis. RNAcentral's name for it is "tRNA-Arg". It matches the Rfam family "tRNA". Rfam says of the family: Transfer RNA (tRNA) molecules are approximately 80 nucleotides in length. The record is from RNAcentral. RNAcentral also lists the same sequence under 9 other names. Lineage: Bacteria; Bacillati; Mycoplasmatota; Mycoplasmoidales; Metamycoplasmataceae.
GGUCGCGUAGCUCAGCUGGAUAGAGUACGUGCCUUCUAAGCAUGUGGUCGUGGGUUCGAGUCCCGCCGCGAUCGCCA